This 434-nucleotide ribosomal RNA is filed under the name uncultured bacterium. RNAcentral describes it as "bacterial SSU rRNA". It matches the Rfam family "Bacterial small subunit ribosomal RNA", at positions 335 to 767 of the family's 1533-position model. The record is from RNAcentral.
ACUCCUACGGGAGGCAGCAGUAGGGAAUAUUGGUCAAUGGGCGAGGGCCUGAACCAGCCAUGCCGCGUGCAGGAAGACGGCCUUCUGGGUUGUAAACUGCUUUUGGCCGGGAACAAAAAGCCCCUGCGGGGGAAAUUGAGUGUACCGGCAGAAUAAGCACCGGCUAACUCCGUGCCAGCAGCCGCGGUAAUACGGAGGGUGCAAGCGUUGUCCGGAUUUAUUGGGUUUAAAGGGUGCGUAGGCGGGCCAAUAAGUCAGUGGUGAAAGCCCACAGCUCAACUGUGGAACCGCCAUUGAUACUGUUGGCCUUGAGUACCGUUGGGGCAGGCGGAAUUUAUGGUGUAGCGGUGAAAUGCAUAGAUACCAUAAAGAACACCGAUAGCGUAGGCAGCUUGCUAAACGGUAACUGACGCUGAGGCACGAAAGCAUGGGGA